GUGCUGGCCUCGGCCGCCCAGGUACUGAAAUUGGGACGAUGCGGAGAGGAUUAGUGAGGCCCCUGAGCAAGGCUGACAGGCACGUUGGGAAGCCUUCGUACUUUUU
Small nuclear RNA from Myotis lucifugus (little brown bat), 106 nucleotides. Lineage: Eukaryota; Metazoa; Chordata; Mammalia; Chiroptera; Vespertilionidae. The record is from Ensembl.